GUGAGUAUAGUUUUUAUUCAGUGGGGAAUACUAUGGUCUAGCUGUCAGUUUCAAGAGCUGUUUUAUUUUGUUUUUUCUUUCUCAGAUCAUUUAUUUCCACAUUCAACAAAUAUAAGUUUCUGGAUGCGUCUGGCAUUGUGUGACAUUCAAGAAAUAGAUUGGAAAACAAGACAGCCAGGUAAAAGAGGGAAUCUGAGCAAACACCCUGAGAUGGAAGAACACAAGUCACAUUUGAAGUCCUGGAGGAAAUCCUGUAAGAUAAGUCUGGAUUUUAAGGACCAGAUAGGCCGGGCGUGGUGGCUCACGCCUGUAAUCCCAGCUCUUUGGGAGGCCGAGGCGGGCUGAUCAUCUGAGGUUGGGAGUUGGAGACCAGCCUGCUGACCAAAACGUAGAAACCCCAUCUCUACUAAAAAUACAAAAUUAGCUGGGCAUGGUGGCACAUGCCUGUAAUCCCAGCUACUUGGGAGGCUGAGGCAGGAGAAUCGCUUGAACCCGGGAGGCGGAGGUUGUGGUGAACCGAGAUCAUGCCAUUGCACUCCAGCCUGGCCAACAAGAGCAAAACUCUGACUCAAAAAAAACAAAACAACAACAACAACAACAACAAAAACAAGAAAAAAAGGAGUAAGGAGCAGAUAGUGGGAGAUUAGACUGGUGAAAUGAGCAGAGCCAAAUUAAGCAGGACUUUAAGGUCAUAUUAGAGAUUCUCAACUAUGUCCAAAAAAGAGCAGCAAGACACCAAUAAUAACAGCGUCCUCCCUCACCCCACACCCUUUCCAGGAGCCACUGCUCCGUAGCCACACUAAGGGGCUUGAUUUUUCAUCCUUUAUUCCCCUCUCUGACUCCCAGACAUGCUCCCAAUGAGGAUGAAAGGGUUUGGAUUGUUAGUUCUGUCGACCAGGAAGGCCCUGAUUUGUGCUCAGUGCUGGUGGGGGUGGGGGUGGGAGAUUUAUUUAAAAAGAAGAGGAAAGAAAAAAAGAGAUCUCUAUAGGCAAGUUAGCUUUUCAAAGUUUCAAAUAAUAGAAUAUAUGCCAUGUGUUUCUUUUAUCUCUUUAUCCAGGUAUGUUUGACAUUAUAUUUUAGAUUUGGAUUUAAGAGUCUAGUAUUCCAUGGAUUUUCUUUUAUCCGAUGCCCAGAGAUUUUUAAUUUUUUUCAAUGUCUUCAAUGCAUUCAGCUUCUAAGUAAUCUAAUUGAUGUGGGAUUAUUAGUGUGCAGACGAAUAGACUAAAAUAUAGAUGUAGAUUUUUUUCAAAUUACAUAUUUACAUCUAUAAAAAUCAACUCAAUGAAAAAUGUUAAAAGUAUAGAAUUACUUAUAAAUAAUUCUUGUUUGUGACUCCUUAAAAUUAGUAUAAUUUUCUCCCCUAACUUCAAGGAUUGUGAUAAGAAUUACAUGGAAUAACAUAUCUAACGGAUAUUCACUCUAUGUGUAUAUUACCUUCCCUUCUGCCAAAAGGACUGUUCUUAGGAGAAGCCAAGACUAACCACAUGGAGCUGACCCAUUUAAUCUGUAUCUUUCAUCUUCCUCAGUUUGAUUUGGAAUUUGUCAGUGGUAGGAUACUAAUGGAGUUGAUAUUUUUGGCUACAAUUAGAGUAUAUGCAAGAAGGUUAAGCAAAAGCACCAGUAAAUGCAAAGUUGUUUUGGAUUCCAUUUCUCUUUGAACUGUGUCCAAAAAAGAGCAAUCAAACACCAAUGCACUUCCCAGUGAAAAUCUAUGCAGUUAUGAGUCCACAAUAACUUGUCAGACUUUGUCUAGGUGGAGCUGAGCUGAAAAAAUAAAUCUAAAAAAAUAAACUGCCCUAGGCUACCAUUCCUGUGAUUUAUUUGAAUGAAAACACAAAAUUAUCUGAAUGCAUAAGGAAAUUAUUAUAUUAAGUGAUCUAAAUAAGAAGAAUUCAAUGUCUGGAGAGGAGAUGACUGUUUUUUUUCAAAAGCACCAGAAUUCCUGCUGACAUCACUUAGAAUCAUUAGUCUUCCUAUAAUUAUUUCACCUUCUCUUUAACCUUGUGUUCAUGCCUCCAUUUGUCUACAUUUUUGUCUUAACUGGACAAAAAUCACACAAACUCUUUCAAAGUUGUAAAACCAGCAUAUUAUUAUUUAGAUUUUUACCAACUUGAAAAUCCAGUUGGUAAUUUUGUCUUUAAAUGGGAGGUAUCUGAAUUUUUGAAUAAAAUUCAGUUUUGCAAUAUUUUACUUUUAUAAACAGCAAUAAAAUGCAUCAGAAAGAUCCAUUUAUAUCAAUAGUUCUGAGAAACACAUACUCUAAGAAAUUUCCAGAUGGUAUCAUGGAUUAUACAACAGAAGUAUUCAUGAGCAAGCCAGAAUUGAAAUAACACAAUGUCUUGUUUUACCUAUGUGACAUGUACAUGAGGUAAAUAAAUUUUCUUCCCAUAUGGUGGUUUGUAUAGGUGGGGACAUUGUUUGAAAUGAUCACACAUACUUGCACGCUAUUCAUGCCUGGGCUUUUUUCACUGAAGAGGAAUGACUAAGUGUGACUACAGCAGCUCACGAGGCCAAGAAUUCCAGGAAAGUCUUCUUGCCUGCCCAGGUGCAAUCUGUCAUUGGUUCAGGGAUAGAAAUCCUUUCUGAUCAUCUUCAUAACCCCCGGCAACUCAGAAAAGUUAGUUAAACAAGUAGUCUCUCAAAUUGGAUAUUAGUUAUCCCAAGAUGGCCAGCAAACAAUAGCCAGUGGCAAAAACACGUGACUGAUUUUGCCAUAUAUUCCUCACAAAUAUAACUUUAUAUAAUCCCUUAACCCUGUGGGUAUCAGUCCCGGCUACACAUUACUAUCAAAUUUAGACUUAAAAAAUGUCUAUGCCCAGGCCCUACUCUAGACAAAUUAAUCAGAAUUUCUUAGAAUGAGAUUUGGUGUUUAAAAUCUCCUCAUGAUGUUUAUAUGCAGACAUGGCUGGGAACAGUGGCCUCAAACAAUGGAAUCACUUAGUGAACUUUAUAAAGUAGAAAUACUUGGGUUCCACCCCCAAGGAUUCAGACUUAAUGGUGUGGAAUGUGGCCUGAACAUGAAGAGUUUUAAAAACUCCACAGAUGAUUCCAAUAUGCAGCAAGGCCAAGAUGACCUUAUAGAUGUCUGCCUCCUCUCUUUACAGAUCUGUAGAAAUCUAGGAAGAAGAAGGCUCUUAAAGCAGUGGCUCCAAUAUGGGGUCCCUUGAGAAGCAACAGAGAUAUUUAUAACUAUAAUAAUUCUUCACAUUUAUUUUAUAUUCAGUAUAUUUCAU
This 3233-nucleotide long non-coding RNA is filed under the name Homo sapiens (human). RNAcentral's name for it is "HSALNT0073699". The record is from RNAcentral. Lineage: Eukaryota; Metazoa; Chordata; Mammalia; Primates; Hominidae.